RNAcentral lists this ribosomal RNA (500 nucleotides) under uncultured bacterium. Its description in RNAcentral is "partial 16S ribosomal RNA". It matches the Rfam family "Bacterial small subunit ribosomal RNA", at positions 30 to 523 of the family's 1533-position model. The record is from RNAcentral.
AUUGAACGCUGGCGGAAUGCUUUACACAUGCAAGUCGAACGGCAGCACGGACUUCGGUCUGGUGGCGAGUGGCGAACGGGUGAGUAAUGUAUCGGAACGUGCCCAGUCGUGGGGGAUAACGUAGUGAAAAUUACGCUAAUACCGCAUACGAUCUAUGGAUGAAAGCGGGGGAUCGCAAGACCUCGCGCGAUUGGAGCGGCCGAUAUCAGAUUAGGUAGUUGGUGGGGUAAAGGCCCACCAAGCCAACGAUCUGUAGCUGGUCUGAGAGGACGCCCAGCCACACUGGAACGGAGACACGGUCCAGACUCCUACGGGAGGCAGCAGUGGGGAAUUUUGGACAAUGGGCGAAAGCCUGAUCCAGCCAUUCCGCGUGCAGGAUAAAGGCCCUCGGGUUGUAAACUGCUUUUGUACAGAACGAAAAGGUUUCUACUAAUACUAGGAGCUCAUGACGGUACUGUAAGAAUAAGCACCGGCUAACUACGUGCCAGCCGCCGCCGUAA